RNAcentral lists this ribosomal RNA (441 nucleotides) under uncultured bacterium. RNAcentral describes it as "partial 16S ribosomal RNA". It matches the Rfam family "Bacterial small subunit ribosomal RNA", at positions 338 to 795 of the family's 1533-position model. The record is from RNAcentral.
CCUACGGGUGGCAGCAGUGGGGAAUAUUGCACAAUGGGGGAAACCCUGAUGCAGCGACGCCGCGUGAGUGAAGAAGUAUUUCGGUAUGUAAAGCUCUAUCAGCAGGGAAGAAGCAAGACGGUACCUGACUAAGAAGCCCCGGCUAACUACGUGCCAGCAGCCGCGGUAAUACGUAGGGGGCAAGCGUUAUACGGAUUUACUGGGUGUAAAGGGAGCGUAAGCGGUAUGGCAAGUCUGAAGUGAAAGCCCAGGGCUUAACCCUGGGACUGCUUUGGAAACUGUUAGACUUGAGUGCUGGAGAGGUAAGUGGAAUUCCUGGUGUAGCGGUGAAAUGCGUAGAUAUUAGGAGGAACACCAGUGGCGAAGGCGACUUACUGGACAGUAACUGACGUUGAGGCUCGAAAGCGUGGGGAGCAAACAGGAUUAGAUACCCGAGUAGUC